GACGAACGCUGGCGGCGUGCUUAACACAUGCAAGUCGAACGGAAAGGCCCUGCUUUUGUGGGGUGCUCGAGUGGCGAACGGGUGAGUAACACGUGAGUAACCUGCCCUUGACUUUGGGAUAACUUCAGGAAACUGGGGCUAAUACCGGAUAGGAGCUCCUGAUGCACGGUGGGGGUUGGAAAGUUUCGGCGGUUGGGGAUGGACUCGCGGCUUAUCAGCUUGUUUGUGAGGUAGUGGCUUACCAAGGCUUUGACGGGUAGCCGGCCUGAGAGGGUGACCGGCCACAUUGGGACUGAGAUACGGCCCAGACGCCUACGGGAGGCAGCAGUGGAGAAUAUUGCACAAUGGGCGGAAGCCUGAUGCAGCAACGCCGCGUGCGGGAUGACGGCCUUCGGGUUGUAAACCGCUUUCGCCGGUGACGAAGCGUGAGUGACGGUAAUGGGUAAAGAAGCACCGGCUAACUACGUG
Molecule: ribosomal RNA, 468 nt
Filed under: uncultured bacterium
Lineage: Bacteria
Description: partial 16S ribosomal RNA
Rfam family: Bacterial small subunit ribosomal RNA
Source: RNAcentral